Molecule: transfer RNA, 73 nt
Filed under: Candidatus Aenigmatarchaeota archaeon
Lineage: Archaea; Nanobdellati; Candidatus Aenigmatarchaeota
Description: tRNA-Asn
Rfam family: tRNA
About the family: Transfer RNA (tRNA) molecules are approximately 80 nucleotides in length. Their secondary structure includes four short double-helical elements and three loops (D, anti-codon, and T loops). Further hydrogen bonds mediate the characteristic L-shaped molecular structure. tRNAs have two regions of fundamental functional importance: the anti-codon, which is responsible for specific mRNA codon recognition, and the 3' end, to which the tRNAs corresponding amino acid is attached (by aminoacyl-tRNA synthetases). tRNAs cope with the degeneracy of the genetic code in two manners: having more than one tRNA (with a specific anti-codon) for a particular amino acid; and 'wobble' base-pairing, i.e. permitting non-standard base-pairing at the 3rd anti-codon position.
Source: RNAcentral
GCCGGGGUAGCUCAGUUGGUAGAGCGUCCGGCUGUUAACCGGAAGGUCGCCGGUUCAAAUCCGGCCCCCGGCG